RNAcentral lists this ribosomal RNA (253 nucleotides) under uncultured bacterium. RNAcentral's name for it is "partial 16S ribosomal RNA". It matches the Rfam family "Bacterial small subunit ribosomal RNA", at positions 524 to 776 of the family's 1533-position model. The record is from RNAcentral.
UACGUAGGGUGCGAGCGUUGUCCGGAAUUAUUGGGCGUAAAGAGCUCGUAGGCGGUUUGUUGCGUCGGCUGUGAAAUCCCGAGGCUCAACCUCGGGUCUGCAGUCGAUACGAGCAAACUAGAGUGUUGCAGGGGAGACUGGAAUUCCUGGUGUAGCGGUGAAAUGCGCAGAUAUCAGGAGGAACACCGGGGGCGAAGGCGGGUCUCUGGGCAACAACUGACGCUGAGGAGCGAAAGCGUGGGGAGCGAACAGG